GUUGACCUCAAAUCAG
This 16-nucleotide ribosomal RNA is filed under the name Debaryomyces hansenii. RNAcentral's name for it is "partial 28S ribosomal RNA". Lineage: Eukaryota; Fungi; Ascomycota; Pichiomycetes; Serinales; Debaryomycetaceae. The record is from RNAcentral.